RNAcentral lists this ribosomal RNA (253 nucleotides) under uncultured bacterium. RNAcentral's name for it is "partial 16S ribosomal RNA". It matches the Rfam family "Bacterial small subunit ribosomal RNA", at positions 524 to 776 of the family's 1533-position model. The record is from RNAcentral.
GACAGAGGCCUCAAGCGUUAGGCGGAAUCACUGGGCUUAAAGCGUGUGUAGGCGGAUCGUUAAGUGUCUUGUGAAAUCCCACGGCUCACCCGUGGAACGGCUGGGCAUACUGGCGAUCUUGGGCCAACUAGGGGCAACUGGAACAAGCGGUGGAGCGGUGAAAUGCGUAGAUAUCAGGAGGAACACCUGUGGCGAAAGCGGCUCACUGGACCACAACUGACGCUGAGGCGCGAAAGCUAGGGGAGCAAACAGG